GUACAGAAGUGGCAUUCAGCCUUUGACAAGCGAAGAGCUACUUUGUCAUCAAACAGAGGCUCACAAAACCAUGAAAGAAUGAACUGAAUUUAAAAUGGAGAAAUGUGCACAGGCAGUUUAUGCGAGAGUUAAUACACUGCUCCAAACAAGUCAGCAAAAUCCACAGCCAGGAACAGUGGUUUUCGGAGCACAGCCAAAGACCCGGACUCAUUGGCUAUCCGUCACCUGUCGCAGAAGACCAGCUCUGUGUGUUUUUACAUUGGCACAGCUGUCCUGGAUGCAGCUUGCAGCCAGGACUGCAUUUGUACACAGCCAAAGUGGAUCUCAAGCAUUCCUGCGCCUCUAGCAGUUUGACCUCCACCCACAGCAGAUAAGUAACUCAGAUGGGGCUGUUCUUGUUAAUCUGCAGAAAAGAAGAGAUGUCCUUGAUGCACCAUAUACAUGUGACGCAUAUGACAAGUGUUAGCUGUGUCUCAGUGAAAGCUGAAAAUUCUUUCCUUCUUCAGGCUGCCACUCCAG
Molecule: long non-coding RNA, 519 nt
Filed under: Gallus gallus (chicken)
Lineage: Eukaryota; Metazoa; Chordata; Aves; Galliformes; Phasianidae
Description: lncRNA (ENSGALG00010016050.1)
Source: RNAcentral